This 1610-nucleotide ribosomal RNA is filed under the name Salmonella enterica. Its description in RNAcentral is "partial 23S ribosomal RNA". It matches the Rfam family "Bacterial large subunit ribosomal RNA", at positions 1280 to 2868 of the family's 2925-position model. The record is from RNAcentral. Lineage: Bacteria; Pseudomonadati; Pseudomonadota; Gammaproteobacteria; Enterobacterales; Enterobacteriaceae.
UAUCAGAAGUGCGAAUGCUGACAUAAGUAACGAUAAAGCGGGUGAAAAGCCCGCUCGCCGGAAGACCAAGGGUUCCUGUCCAACGUUAAUCGGGGCAGGGUGAGUCGACCCCUAAGGCGAGGCCGAAAGGCGUAGUCGAUGGGAAACGGGUUAAUAUUCCCGUACUUGGUGUUACUGCGAAGGGGGGACGGAGAAGGCUAUGUUGGCCGGGCGACGGUUGUCCCGGUUUAAGCGUGUAGGUGUGUGUUCCAGGUAAAUCCGGUUCACUUUAACACUGAGGCGUGAUGACGAGGCACCACGGUGCUGAAGCAACAAAUGCCCUGCUUCCAGGAAAAGCCUCUAAGCAUCAGGUAACAUCAAAUCGUACCCCAAACCGACACAGGUGGUCAGGUAGAGAAUACCAAGGCGCUUGAGAGAACUCGGGUGAAGGAACUAGGCAAAAUGGUGCCGUAACUUCGGGAGAAGGCACGCUGACACGUAGGUGAAGUGAUUUACUCAUGGAGCUGAAGUCAGUCGAAGAUACCAGCUGGCUGCAACUGUUUAUUAAAAACACAGCACUGUGCAAACACGAAAGUGGACGUAUACGGUGUGACGCCUGCCCGGUGCCGGAAGGUUAAUUGAUGGGGUCAGCGCAAGCGAAGCUCCUGAUCGAAGCCCCGGUAAACGGCGGCCGUAACUAUAACGGUCCUAAGGUAGCGAAAUUCCUUGUCGGGUAAGUUCCGACCUGCACGAAUGGCGUAAUGAUGGCCAGGCUGUCUCCACCCGAGACUCAGUGAAAUUGAACUCGCUGUGAAGAUGCAGUGUACCCGCGGCAAGACGGAAAGACCCCGUGAACCUUUACUAUAGCUUGACACUGAACAUUGAGCCUUGAUGUGUAGGAUAGGUGGGAGGCUUUGAAGCGUGGACGCCAGUCUGCGUGGAGCCGACCUUGAAAUACCACCCUUUAAUGUUUGAUGUUCUAACGUGGACCCGUAAUCCGGGUUGCGGACAGUGUCUGGUGGGUAGUUUGACUGGGGCGGUCUCCUCCUAAAGAGUAACGGAGGAGCACGAAGGUUGGCUAAUCCUGGUCGGACAUCAGGAGGUUAGUGCAAUGGCAUAAGCCAGCUUGACUGCGAGCGUGACGGCGCGAGCAGGUGCGAAAGCAGGUCAUAGUGAUCCGGUGGUUCUGAAUGGAAGGGCCAUCGCUCAACGGAUAAAAGGUACUCCGGGGAUAACAGGCUGAUACCGCCCAAGAGUUCAUAUCGACGGCGGUGUUUGGCACCUCGAUGUCGGCUCAUCACAUCCUGGGGCUGAAGUAGGUCCCAAGGGUAUGGCUGUUCGCCAUUUAAAGUGGUACGCGAGCUGGGUUUAGAACGUCGUGAGACAGUUCGGUCCCUAUCUGCCGUGGGCGCUGGAAGACUGAGGGGGGCUGCUCCUAGUACGAGAGGACCGGAGUGGACGCAUCACUGGUGUUCGGGUUGUCAUGCCAAUGGCACUGCCCGGUAGCUAAAUGCGGAAAAGAUAAGUGCUGAAAGCAUCUAAGCACGAAACUUGCCCCGAGAUGAGUCUUCCCUGAGACCUUGAGUCUCCUGAAGGAACGUUAAAGACGAUGACGUUGAUAGGCCGGGUGU